Cyprinodon tularosa is the source of this 329-nucleotide long non-coding RNA. RefSeq lists it as uncharacterized. Lineage: Eukaryota; Metazoa; Chordata; Actinopteri; Cyprinodontiformes; Cyprinodontidae. The transcript is spliced from 3 exons. The record is from RefSeq and is a predicted model, not a curated record.
GGGUUUGCUGUCACGUAGGCUGCCGCUAAUAACUAAUAACAAAGAUGGCACAGGCUCCUCGCAGUGGACCAAUGGGGAAGUGAUCAUCUGUCCGAACGCCACCUCUGGGGGAGACGCCCGCUGCAAGCUGUGGUCUAAUCUCCCGUCUGGAUUCAGCUGUGUUCUCCGUGAACAGACUGAACUUUAAAUCAGAGACCUGCCCCGCACCUGACGAGCAGCCCCCGCUCCUGUUAGUUUUAAUAAUUGCUUUGAACUUUCCCACUACCUGUCUCGCCUCGAAUUCUGGAUCCAACAUUCUGAGAUCAUUACAAAAACAUGCCAGAGGAGGA